AUUAUACAAGUUAAACAUGAUUAGAAGUAACAAAGGUGUCCUCCCUCCCCCCUCUCUCACCCUAAAGAAAUACUCUAGAAAACCAAGCCAAGAGGAAAAAAAAAAGAAACAAAAAUUUUCUUCCUCCAUCCCUCCUCUUCUUCCCUCCAGCUGCAGGAGGUGGAGGAGAGGGAUCAAAGUCAGACUCACCCAAACCAGAAACCAAGGAAAGAGAGAAGAGAGAGAGUGUUUAGAGAGAGAGAGGGAGAGAACACUAUACAACCAACCAAAGUCAACGCCAAAGGAGCGAUUUUUUUUUUUGUGGUCUUACUCCGGGC
Molecule: long non-coding RNA, 317 nt
Filed under: Oryza brachyantha (malo sina)
Lineage: Eukaryota; Viridiplantae; Streptophyta; Magnoliopsida; Poales; Poaceae
Description: long non-coding RNA (OBRA_LNC003211)
Source: RNAcentral